This 798-nucleotide ribosomal RNA is filed under the name uncultured marine bacterium. RNAcentral's name for it is "bacterial SSU rRNA". It matches the Rfam family "Bacterial small subunit ribosomal RNA", at positions 36 to 883 of the family's 1533-position model. The record is from RNAcentral.
CUGGCGGCAGGCCUAACACAUGCAAGUCGAGCGCACCUUCGGGUGAGCGGCGGACGGGUUAGUAACGCGUGGGAACGUACCCUUUUCUACGGAAUAGCCUUUGGAAACGAAGAGUAAUACCGUAUACGCCCUUUGGGGGAAAGAUUUAUCGGAGAAGGAUCGGCCCGCGAUAGAUUAGAUAGUUGGUGGGGUAACGGCCUACCAAGUCUACGAUCUAUAGCUGGUUUUAGAGGAUGAUCAGCAACACUGGGACUGAGACACGGCCCAGACUCCUACGGGAGGCAGCAGUGGGGAAUCUUAGACAAUGGGCGCAAGCCUGAUCUAGCCAUGCCGCGUGAGUGAUGAAGGCCUUAGGGUCGUAAAGCUCUUUCGCCUGUGAUGAUAAUGACAGUAGCAGGUAAAGAAACCCCGGCUAACUCCGUGCCAGCAGCCGCGGUAAUACGGAGGGGGUUAGCGUUGUUCGGAAUUACUGGGCGUAAAGCGCACGUAGGCGGAUUGGAAAGUUGGGGGUGAAAUCCCGGGGCUCAACCCCGGAACUGCCUCCAAAACUAUCAGUCUAGAGUUCGAGAGAGGUGAGUGGAAUUCCAAGUGUAGAGGUGAAAUUCGUAGAUAUUUGGAGGAACACCAGUGGCGAAGGCGGCUCACUGGCUCGAUACUGACGCUGAGGUGCGAAAGUGUGGGGAGCAAACAGGAUUAGAUACCCUGGUAGUCCACACCGUAAACGAUGAAUGCCAGUCGUCGGGCAGUAUACUGUUCGGUGACACACCUAACGGAUUAAGCAUUCCGCCUGGGGAGUAC